This is an RNA transcript of Motacilla alba alba, 8814 nucleotides long. It is a transcript of the gene named translation initiation factor IF-2-like, with no coding region annotated. The record is from RefSeq and is a predicted model, not a curated record. Lineage: Eukaryota; Metazoa; Chordata; Aves; Passeriformes; Motacillidae. The transcript has 3 exons.
ACAAACAAACAAAACCCACAAAGAAACCACCUCUUGGCUUUUUAACAUUGAAACACCCUCCUGUGCAUACACCCCGAAGCACAUCCUCGGCGGCACCCAGCAUGAUCCUCGCAGCCGCCCCGGUGUCUCACAACCCACGCCAAUCUCGGCGGGCCGCUCCCUCUGCCCCCUUCCCCUCUCUGCAGCCCGCAAUUCCCGCGGGGAAGGGGUCACUGCCAUUCUUUUCCCUGCCUCCCACUGGACCCGUGCGGAGAGGCGGGCGGGCGGGAGAGGCACCCCCGGCGCUGCGCCGCACCUGCUCCGCGGGCACCCGCGGGACAGCAGGUGCCCACGGGAAGCAGAUGCCCACGGGAGGCAGGUGCUCAAGGGAAAGCAGGCGCUCAAGGGAAAGCAGGCGCCACGGGCGGUGGGAGCAGCGCGGACCGGCGCGGAGCAAUGCCUCCCGCAGCUCCCCCGCCCCACGCUGUCCCGCUGCCUCUGCCAUUCCCAAGCAGCCCUUCCCGGCAGCAGGCGUGAUGGGAACCGGUCUCUUUUGCUUUCAUUCUACGGGGAAAAGAGAAAAAAAAAGCAAAACUGGGAAUUUCCCCAGCCGUCACCGAGGGUUUAAAAGGCACCGGGAAGCCCCGCGCGGGCAGAGCAGGCGGGACGGCGGGGCCGGCGGCUCGGAGACAGCGGAGCAGGUGAGGAGCCAGCGCGGCCGGGGCUGCGGAGCGCAGCCAGCCCGGGGCAGAAAUGCUAAACUAGUGCAUAAUGGUUCUGCUACUUGACCUACCUGUGUAUGCACAGCUGACUCUCUUGGCAGCACUGCUGACCAUUGGAGGUCUUCUCUCAGGGGGUGCUCUCCUGGCACAAGGCAGAGGAUUGGCAGAUAAUCAGUGAAGACACUUCCUGUGAAGAUAGGAAAUAUUAAUGUUAGGUGCUGUUGAAAUACAGAUCUGGAGGAAGACAACUCGAGCAUACUCGAGAAAAAAAAAUGUUGACAAGAACUGAUGCAUACAGUUGACAUCAAGAGAGCAGAGAGAUCCUUUGGUGAACUGGAAGCGAACUGGCUGAUUUUUGCCUACCAAAGAGGGAGAAUAGGAUUUACUCAUGAGUAAAUCUAGAGACUGAGCACAGUGGGAAAGAGCUAGAUAAACCAAUGGGUGAGUGGUGUUUGUAAUUAGUUUGCAAAUAACUUCAAGCUAGAUCUUUGAAGAUGGCUUCUAACCAAGGGGAAAAAAAUCCCACAUUUCUGUAUUUUAGCCUUUAGUCUAUGUUGUGGCGGAGAUAAAUAAAGAUCCCGAAAAAAAGGUGUGGCAACAAUAUGAAAAUAGUGUUGCUAGGAGGCUAUUUGAAACAAAAUAAAAUGGCCAAUAGUACUUUUCAGUCCUGAGCUAUACCAAAGAUUUUCGCUACACUAAAGUCUGUCUCUCAUACUCACAUUUUUUUUCUUUUUGUUUUUUGAUACAAACACUUUUGUAUCUCCUAUGUAAUUAAAAACAAGAACAGAUUUAGCAAAGCCACAGUAAUGUGUUUGCUGAUUCUUUGCAGCUCAGAAUUAAAAAGAGUAGUUUUCUGGGGAAAGAAAAGACCAUUUAUUUGAUUUUAAUGAUUAUUUAAAUAAUUAACUAGUAGCUUUUGGUUAUGUUUAGCUUUGUCCCCAAGAACUGAUAACUCAUCUUAAAAUCAAUGGUUGCCUAGUGACAAGCAAUUAUUAUAUAGUUUUAUUACUUGUAGACAAGUAAAAUAUUGUCUUGGCCUGUAAUGAUGGGCAGAAGCCUAAAGCUGUGAUUUUAUCAGAGUUUUGGAGGUUUCAGCAAGACAAAUGCAUUGUUUUUGACAUUCCUGUGAGCUUCUCACAAAUUUCUUGUUAUCCAUGGAACAAUUUCCAUUAUAUAAUUUGUGUUUUUAUUCAAGGGUGAAAUAUGGAGCCAGACUUGGGUUUUCAUUUUGUUUUGGCUUUCUUUUUUUAAUUCUCUCAUAUUUUAAAAAUAUUUGUGCAAGAAAAAAUAUAUUUCUGGGCAAGUCAUCUUUGCUGAGAGCUUUGGCCAGCUAAGAGCCAGCAAUACUGGCAAGAAUCAGUGUUUGCCACUUAAUUCUUCCAGUUCAUCUGAGUAAGAGGGUAAGGUCCUUGUAGAUGUGAAUUUGCUGACUGUGAGCUGCCUCAAAAUACUGAAAGAAAAUAUUGCAAAGGCCAGUCACAAGAACCAUAAUGAAAUGAAGUCUUAUUGAAACCAAUGAGUUCUUAUUGACUGAGCAUCAUUUGUGCUUUCACAGAUUUGACUUAUUGCAAACUGGACACUUGUUUUUCUGAAAAUGGAAAGUGAAAAUAAAACCCAUAAUGAAUGUAAAGAGAAAAAGUGCAACCAACAUAACAGCCUCAAUUUAUGAGGAGCAGGAGUUUUCCAAAUAUGUUUGUUGUCUCUGUCAGCUUUCAUUCCCACAGCAGUUUCGGAGCAAAAUUAUUACAUUCUCUCAAGGGACACUGCUUUGCAUUGUUAUUAUUAUUUACUUUAUUGCUGGCAUGAGUGCUUACACAGUAAGAAGGACUAGGCUAACCAAACAGUUCAACCUGGGAUAAUCAAGUAGCCUGCUGUGGAUUUGAUUUGGAUUAAAUAGACAUUUUCAGGACUAGAAUAUGUGUGGGAGGUGUAGGAGGUGUCCACCCUCUCUCCAGGAGCACCCAUUUCACUUAUUUUGGCUGCACUUUCCUAGGAAGCAGCUGAUGUAUUUGUUCUCUUUCCUGUCAUGGAGGGAAAAACAUUUUGUUGCACUGGAAACAUUUCACCAGUUCAGUGGAGGCCUUCAGAGACUGGGAAAAAUGCAAGUAACCCUCUUUUAGGGCAUGCUCUUGUGUGAAGUCAUACACCUCUCUUAUUGACAGUCUCAUGGAUUUUUCUUUUUUAACUUGUAAGUUGCAAUAUCUAUUACCACUUAUGGACAAAAAUAAAACACAUAAUAUAAAACUUGCUUUAGUUUAUUAAUGAAGAGUAAGACUAAUGAGUGGCAUUUUAAGUGCUGCAAAACAACCCUCUAUUAUGCCUGUAAUGCCAUCACUUUCCUUUUUUAUCUAUAAGGCUGCACAACUUGCUUUUUUAGAAAGCUUUUGUACAAAAAUUGACUUCUUCUGUUGUGGGCUGUUCUUUGAGUACAGUGAUGAACAUGGCACAUGGUGGAAUUCUGGCCUUAAAAAAUGUUGUUGAUUUUGACACACCAUACCAAAUAAUACCUCAUAUAAAAAUCACAUAGAAAACUUCAUGUAAAAGUGAAAAAGCAAGGUAUUUUCUCACCAGUCAAGUGCAAUGGGGGAUCCUCUUGUCAGGAUUUAAGUCUAAAUAAUUCCUUUUUCUCCCCCUGGUUCUUGUUUCACUUUGCAUUUUUUUCUGCUUAAUGGAGGAAAUAAAGGACUUCAGAUCAUGAAGGACAAUCAAAUAAACAUGAGCAUUUAGUAAGAUGAUGUCAUCUUCAUAUUUUAUGGAUCCAGGGAGAGCUGAAGCGAAACACAAAGGAAGAAAAGGAAAAUGCUCAUUACUUCUGUAUCUGACAUUAGCUAUUCUUCUGUCACUUUUUAUUUCACUCCAAUGAAAGAGAUGCUGUAAAAAACAUUUUGUAACCACAAGAAUGAACUAUAAAUAUCAUCUUUGGUAUUGGCUCUGUUUAUCCUAGAGGUAGACCUUUGUGUGAUGCUGCAUGCUGAUGGAGAACUCUGGCAAGAGCAUCUUCCAUCUUCAGGAGUGGUGCAUGCAGGAGCUAGAGGAAAUGAGUGAGUGGAACGUGAGUGUCAAAUAGGCAGAGCCGGGGAAGCGCUGAGGAAGGAAAGGAGCCUUCUGGCGCUUUGCUGAAGGCUCAUGAAGAAUUGGAGCAUUAUGUUGGUGAGUGUGGUGGUUUAGGAAGACAGGGACGAUAAAGGAACCUUUUACCCUUUUUUUUUUUUUUUAGAAAUCAGAGUGUGAGGUCCUUUUAAUCUGUUUAAUGCCAGAGUUUAUCUUAUUGAUCUAUAAACUUUAGGGCUGGGAAUAUGUAAACGUGUAACCGGUGCAUGGCAAAGCCUUGCCUACGGCUCAUGCUCCACGAGAGGGAGCCAGAACUGUCUUUAAAAUGUCAGCAGUAAAACCUGGGAAAAGCCGCAGCCUAAGCUCUGCCCGAGGCGCUGCCCUUGCCUGGUGGCCAAGGCAGUGUUUUACCCACGGAGCUGCUGCUGCUCGGCCGUGCCCCCUCACAUCAGGGCAGCCCGGUUCGCACGACAGCGAGCGACCCGCUCUGAUCCACCCCGGCUGCCAUCGCCACCUCCUCAUCCUCCUCCUCCUCAUCCUCCUCAUCCUCCUCCUUCCUCUGCGCUCCCGCGGUGAGGAAUCACCAGCAGUGCGAAGAAAGCCUGCUGCGGCCGUGCAAAGACAGAGUGCCUCACUGCUGGUAGCCCUGCUGGGAUGAUGGGCAAAGGAGGCUGCCCCUUACCUGCAUCUGCAGUUUAUUGUCCGGCUUAGCUGAGGCAAUAAAUGCAGGAGGCGAACUGGGGGGGGUGAAACUGGAAUUAAAAUAUGCAACACCUGGCAGUGCAGUAGAAAGUAAGAAUACUUUUUGGAUCAUUGAGUUGCGUGUGCAAAGAUGUACUUCCUACUGACUUAAACACUAACAAAACAACAGAGCCUCUAAUUGGAAUCCUUCUAGGAAUACAUGUGCUACAUGGAAAAAACCUAGACCCAUAAAGUCAGAUGCAGGUGAUAAUGGAUUUCAGAACAACUUGGAGUUUUGAAAUUGACUGCAAUGAAAGCUAACUGAUCUGAAAUAAGAGGCAGCAAUACUAAAAAUGCUAUUGCUAAAAAAAACUUCCUUUGGCAAGUAAGUGUCCCUUAAGGAGGUCAGCUGGAGCUGCUGGUUGAGCACGUGAAGCUUAAACUGAAUCCCAUGCUGGAAAUGUGGAGCUAACUGAGCAAGGCUGUACACUGAGGGGGCUGUGAAGAUGCCUUUCCAGGAAGGUUUCUGAGUCAACAUGUGUCCAAAACCUGAGACAGGUCUGCAAGCAGGAAGGCCUGAAUGAAACAUUUUGGAAUACUUUUAAAUGAAAAAAAAUAUGAAAAUGCUGUUGUUUUAAAGUCAACAUUUCAAGCAAGAACUUGGUUCUAAUUUUUGCAGGGAAAACAAUUGUUUAUUUCAUCUCUGGAUUUUACAAAGCAAAACCCAUUAUUCUUCAGGAUUUGACAGUCAUGUGUGUGAAAGAGAGCCAAAACCCAAAACCGAAUCACAGGAUGGGUCAGGUUGGAAGGGACCACAGUGGGUCAUCUGGUCCAGCCUCCCUGGUCAAGCAGGGUCAUCCCAGAGCACAUGACACAGGAUUCUGUCCAGAUGGUUUUUGAAGUUCUCCAGUGAGAGAGACUCCACAACCUCUCUAGGUAAGGUGUUCCAGUGCUCAGUCGCCUGAUUAGUAGACAAGUUGUUCCUCACAUUCAGGUGGAAUUCCCUGUGCAUCAGUUUCUGCCCAUUGACUGUUGUCUGGUUUCUUGCACCACUGAGAAGAGGCUGGAUCCGUGCUCUUGGCACCUCUCCCUUCAGUUACUUACAGACAUGGAUGAGGUCCCUCACACAGCUGCCUCACCCCUGGGAUCCACUGUGUAUGCCCAGUCAGACUUGUUGGCCUUAGCCUGGUGUGAUGGACACGACUGCCAGAGCUGAGGGGCAUUAAUAGCUGGUUAAAAGGGUGAAUGAAAAAUUUUGUCUUAAGGCAGGGGAUAUGUUCUGAAUUGUAGAGUAUGGUUUUAAUUUAUUUCUAGAGGGGUGUGAAUGUGUGUGGAUGUACAAACGCUUGCUGCAUCACACUCCAGGGUGGAGUUGUUACUGUGUCUUCCUUGUGCUGUAGUGGGAGAAGGGCGAAGCACUAGGCAGUCUCUUCUUUGUUUGGCUCCUAAAAACGUCACUUGACAUAUGUAAAACUGACCUAAUCAUACCCAGAAACUGAAUUUGGUGACUUUUGCCAAGACCAAAAAGCUUUUUUGUUUUUUUCAACUGCUUCUCAUGAUGUAAGUUACUGCUGAUCUCUCCACCACUUUGCCCUUUGUUCUGCUAGAAGCAGCCAAGUACUGAAACAUGAUAUCCGUGAGGAUUAUGCAAACAAAGGGAAUAUUUACAUGUAGAGAAUAAUAUUGACAUUUGCAUCUGCCUUUCAGUGUCCCCUCAAAUUAACUGAGUAAGAAUAUAUUCAGGCUUCUUUGUUAAAUUUGCCCGCUGUAUGAAUUAUGACUGAUUCUUAAAAAUACAAAGUGCAUUACUAGUAAGCUCAGACACCAAGUAAUAUGUGGCUAAAAUUUAUAGUCAACUUAUGGUUGACAGCUAAUGUAAAUAGCUGGAAGACUGUAGACAACCAAAAUGCAUUUAAAAUGUCUCAUGCCCAGCAAUGAGAAGUGCACUCAGAUUUUUCUUCAGCCAGCUUGUUUCAUUGAAAACAGCCCUUAACAGUAAUUUAUCCUCUUUUUAAUGUUAGCAAUCCUAUGUCAAAUGAUUUGCAUGGGAAGAAAUAGCUGUGAGAAGCAUCUUAGCAAAUGCCUUAAUUGUUAGGUAAAAAUAACAUUUUGUCUGACAAGGGAAGAAAUAUUUGCAAAAUACUGAUAUGGGCGGGUUGUUUUUUUUUUUUUGAAGAUUGCUGUUACAUAAAUAUUACAACAUCGUUAAGCAAACAAUUUCAAUGAGAAAUAGCUUUCUCUCAUUUGUUCUCCUUUCUUUUUUUUCUAGUUCAUUAAUAAAAGGGCAAAAAAAACCCCUUAGGAAGUCAAGGGUUAGCAAAUAUGCUGGUACACUUACUGACUUUUUUUUUUUUUUUUUAAGUGACAAAGGCAAAAGAGGCUGAGCUGACCUUUAUGAAAGGAGAGAUCCAUGGGGAAAGCUUUCUUUCUGAUAGACAGGAAGCUAUCCAAUUCAACCAUUAAAGGUAGUGAAGGAGGAUGUUUAAGUCAUCUUUUAUCCCAUAGAGUCAAAAGCAACCUCAGGCUGUUAUUUCUCUAAGGCUAAAAGUGUACUUACACAGAACAUGUUGUUUACAGAAACUAUAAAAUACUUUAUUGCACUCAGUUUAAUCAAAUAAGCUAGCUAUCUGUUAGUGUUUCAAGGUAAUCUUUUAAAAAUAUUUAUUGUUUUGCUUUCAGUAUUUAUUUUUCUCACUAUGCACAUAAUCCCAAAUUUCACAUUCUGAUUAUUAUACUACAUAACUCUCUGUGUCUUCUCUAUAGUACAAGGCUCUCUGUUAAUCAGUUGCUUAUGCAAAAUGCAUAAGUUCCCAAUGCAUAUCUGGAUAUAAAAAAUAGUUAUAGAUAAUUGAUAUUUACUAAAGCAAAGAGUGAAAAUUAGAAGUCUCUGAGAGGUAUAGGUCUAAUGAUAGUACAGACAAUAGUACUAAAGCUCAUUAUGUAAACACAAAUGAUUGUACUGUAGGAUAGAUGGUUAAUCUUUGAUAUUAAGGAACCUAAGACUCAGUGUGCUACUUGUUCAUUUAAAGAAGAAGAAAAUAUAUAUUUUUUAAAAAUCCUGACUUUAGUGAGCAGAGGAGACAUCCAGAGUAGUAGGUACCUGUUAGCAGAUUGUCUCUAUUUGUUUUCCUUGCAAUAGACUGAAUGGCUACACAUGUUCUCUUUUGUUUGUUAAAACUUCUCUACUAAAGGCAGCCAAAACCGCUGAUGAAAAAUGUUUUUAUUAAAAAAAUAUUGUAGCUUCGUUUAGGCAGUGUUCUCAUUCAGUGGAAAUUGAAUGAAGCUCAUGAAAAAAUGCAGGGGGAAGAAGAACUAUAUAAAAAAUGCAAACUCCCAAUAUAAGAGCUGAAUCACUGCAAAAAUGAAAUUGCAAUGCCACAAUACCCAGCAUAGUGGAUAAUGAGCAGAAUACAGUGGAAGGAAGGUAGCCUGGCUCUCCCACACUGACUCUGUAACCUAAGUGCAUUCUGCUGUGAAACUGAAGUGUAGUUUAAGGUAAGUCCAGCUAAGCAAUUUAAGCACAGAUAAGCAUUUUGUUCAGAUGUCUGUAGAACAUCUCAAGUGCCACAUCCAGGAAGGGAGCUCAUCCUAGUUCACAUGUUGUGACUUCUCCAUGCAGUGCAGUUGGGGACGGGGUAGGUGGGACACCCUGUCCCUUCCCCUGCAGCGAGGUUCCACAGGCUAUGGAUCUCCUGACCCACCCCAUGCUGCUCCUGGUCCUGCUGAGAAUGUGACAGCUGAAUAUUGCAGAGUGCUGUGAAGUGUUGAUGGCUGGACAGUGUCCCCAAGAGAUGAAAACCUGCAAACAAGGUCUAAAAUAAGACCUUUGUAGCCUUUGCCGUGCAUUUUGGGCUCCCUCUGGGAAUUUUUACUGGGACAGGACAAACUAAUAAUGAUCAUGGUUAUAACAAAUGAGACUUCAAUACCUGCUGGUGGUGUUGAUAAAACUGGGAGCUUUCCAGAAUUAUUGCAGUUCAUCCACAUGGCAUAAAAGUACGUGAAAACUAAAUACAGGUAAUAAUGCUGAACACAAGUCAACUGAAAAUUUUAAAUUAACAAUUAGAUGAACUUGAAAUUUUUAAAAAUCUCCAUGGAAUAUGAAAAGAGUAAGGAAACAAAGAUUAUACCUAAAAGAAUAUAAGAAAAUACAAGCUGCUUUGGAAUUUAUAAACAAUACCUUGAUAUUCCUUUAAUUAAUUCAGGAAUAGAAGAGGACUAAUAGGAAAAAAAUACAAAAAAAACUACAAUGAAAACCGAAGCUAUCUUGAAUUCAUUGAUGUACAUAUAACAUAUUUUAUUAAAAAGCAUGAUUUUAAAUACAUAUUCCAAUAAACAUUCCCUAGAAAACUCUAAAGUACACUUUUAUUGAGUAACAUCUCAG